Molecule: ribosomal RNA, 775 nt
Filed under: uncultured Neocallimastigales
Lineage: Eukaryota; Fungi; Neocallimastigomycota; Neocallimastigomycetes; Neocallimastigales
Description: partial large subunit ribosomal RNA
Rfam family: Eukaryotic large subunit ribosomal RNA
Source: RNAcentral
ACACGCAUGACACACUGCAUAUCAAUAAGCGGAGGAAAAGAAACUAACAAGGAUUCCCCUAGUAACGGCGAGUGAAGCGGGAAGAGCUCAAAUUUGAAAUCUUCAAGGGUUUCCCUUGACGAAUUGUAGUUUAAAGAAGUGUUUUCUGUUAGAGGGGUGGUAAAAGUUCUUUGGAAUAGGACAUCAUAGAGGGUGAGAAUCCCGUAUUUGAUCACUUUCUACUAACGUUGUGAUACACUUUCAAAGAGUCGGAUUGUUUGGGAAUGCAGUCCAAAAUGGGUGGUAAAUUUCAUCUAAAGCUAAAUAUUGGCGAGAGACCGAUAGCGAACAAGUACCGUGAGGGAAAGAUGAAAAGAACUUUGAAAAGAGAGUUAAACAGUACGUGAAAUUGUCAAAAGGGAAGCGUUUGACACCAGUGUUGUUUAGUUGAAAAUCAAUUCAAUAAUUUUUGAUUUUGAGUAGUAUUGACUUCAUCAGCUUGCUGCUUUCUUUUCCGAAAUUAUUGAAUGCACUUUUCAGUUAACAAGUCAACAUCAAUUUCUUUUGUUGUAAAAGGGUAAGAGGAAGGUGGCUUACGCUUCGGCGUAAGUGUAUAUAGCCUUUUACCUCUGCAAUCGGAGAGAUUGAGGACAGCAGCGUAGACUCUUCGGGGUUAGAUACACUUGUGCUAAGCUAUAGCCUUGUAUAGACAACUUGUUGACUAUGCUCAGUCAUGUAGCUUACUCGCUUGUGCUAUUUUACCUACGCUUAGGAUGUUGAAGACUCUACAGAGAUA